Molecule: unclassified non-coding RNA, 241 nt
Filed under: plant metagenome
Description: partial contains small subunit ribosomal RNA, internal transcribed spacer 1, and 5.8S ribosomal RNA
Source: RNAcentral
CCGUUGGUGAACCAGCGGAGGGAUCAUUACCGAGUUUACAACUCCCAAACCCAAUGUGAACCAUACCAAACUGUUGCCUCGGCGGGGUCACGCCCCGGGUGCGUCGCAGCCCCGGAACCAGGCGCCCGCCGGAGGGACCAACCAAACUCUUUCUGUAGUCCCCUCGCGGACGUUAUUUUUACAGCUCUGAGCAAAAAUUCAAAAUGAAUCAAAACUUUCAACAACGGAUCUCUUGGUUCUG